AUGGUGACGUCGGUGCCGUAAAGAUCGUUGUCGAUGGUCGAGGCGAUGCCGACCACCGGAAAGCCCAGGCCAUGCAGCGCGGCGGAGCCCGUCUGGGAGCCGUUGCCUCCGAUCACCACCAGGGCAUCGAUGCCGCGCGUCGCCAGAUUGCGCAGCGCUUUCGACCGGCCGCUUUCCUCGCGAAAGUCCUUCGACCGCGCACUGCCGAGAAACGUCCCGACAUCCCGCGCGCUGAGCCGGGUCAUGCGAUCGUCGAUCAAGCCCUGCCAGCCCUCACGCAC
Molecule: unclassified non-coding RNA, 281 nt
Filed under: Hevea brasiliensis (rubber tree)
Lineage: Eukaryota; Viridiplantae; Streptophyta; Magnoliopsida; Malpighiales; Euphorbiaceae
Source: RNAcentral